UGUCUAAGUACAUACCUUCAAACGGUGAAACCGCGAAUGGCUCAUUAAAUCAGCUAUGGUUCCUUGGAUCGUACAUACUACAUGGAUAACUGUAGUAAUUCUAGAGCUAAUACAUGCCACUAUGCCCUGACCCGCAAGGGAACGGGUGGAUUUAUUAGAACAGAACCAACCGGGGGCGGCUUCGGUCGUCCCUGUUGCAUUCUGUGAUGACUCUGGAUAACUUCACUGAUCGCAGUCGGCCUUGUGUCGGCGACGGAUCUUUCAAAUGUCUGCCCUAUCAAUUAUCGAUGGUAGGUGACCUGCCUACCAUGGUGCUAACGGGUAACGGGGAAUCAGGGUUCGAUUCCGGAGAGGGAGCCUGAGAAACGGCUACCACUUCCAAGGAAGGCAGCAGGCACGCAAAUUACCCAAUCCCGGCACGGGGAGGUAGUGACGAAAAAUACGGAUACGGGACUCACUUGAGGCUCCGUAAUUCGAAUGAGUACAAUUUAAAUCCUUUAACGAGGAUCAACUGGAGGGCAAGUCUGGUGCCAGCAGCCGCGGUAACUCCAGCUCCAGAAGCGUAUAUUAAAGUUGUUGCAGUUAAAAAGCUCGUAGUUGGAUCUGGGUUGCAUGGCUACACGCUCGUGUGUUCGUUAUGGCUAUGCCGUGACAGACAUGCGAGUCGGUUUCGUGGUUGUGCUUCCUUUUUGCUGUGUCUGUUUACAGGUGUCAGCGUGGCUGGUGGGUUUACCUACUGGUCUGUUGGCAUGCUUCUUGAUGCCCUUAACCGGGUGUCGGAGGCGGACAGCACGUUUACUUUGAACAAAUUUGAGUGCUCAAAGCAGGCCUUUGUGCCUGAAAAUUCUUGCAUGGAAUAAUGGAAUAGGACUUCGGUUCUAUUUUGUUGGUUUUCGGAUCCGAAGUAAUGGUUAAGAGGGACAGACGGGGGCAUUUGUAUGGCGGUGUUAGAGGUGAAAUUCUUGGAUCGCCGCCAGACAAACUACAGCGAAAGCAUUUGCCAAGGAUGUUUUCAUUGAUCUUGAGCGAAAGUCAGAGGUUCGAAGACGAUCAGAUACCGUCCUAGUUCUGACCAUAAACGAUGCCAACUGACGAUCCGUGGUGGUUCUUUAUGUGUCCCCACGGGCAGUCCCCGGGAAACCCUUAAGUCUUUGGGCUCCGGGGGAAGUAUGGUUGCAAAGCUGAAACUUAAAGGAAUUGACGGAAGGGCACCACCAGGAGUGGAGCCUGCGGCUUAAUUCGACUCAACACGGGAAAACUCACCCGGCCCGGACACUGUGAGGAUUGACAGAUUGAUAGCUCUUUCUUGAUUCGGUGGUUGGUGGUGCAUGGCCGUUCUUAGUUGGUGGAGCGAUUUGUCUGGUUAAUUCCGAUAACGAACGAGACUUUGGCCUGCUAAAAUAGUAUGCCUGUCCUCUGUGCUCGUGCAGGUUGCGUUUUCCAUUGCCUCUUCGUGGGGUAGUGGUGACGUUAGCCGGCGGGUGCGGCGCAGGUAAUUACUUCUUAGAGGGACAAGCGGCGUUCCAGUCGCACGAAAUUGAGCAAUAACAGGUCUGUGAUGCCCUUAGAUGUCCGGGGCCGCACGUGCGCUACAAUGACGGUUUCAGCGAGUUUGGAAUCCUGGCCUGAGAAGGUUGGGUAAACUGAAUCAUAACCGUCGUGACUGGGAUCGGGGCUUGCAAUUGUUCCCCGUGAACGAGGAAUUCCUGGUAAGUGCAAGUCAUAAGCUUGCGCUGAUUACGUCCCUGCCCUUUGUACACACCGCCCGUCGCUACUACCGAUUGAAUGGCUUAGCAAGGUCCUCGGAUUGGUGCCAUUGUAGUGGCUUCGGCCGCUCGACCGGCGCUGAGAAGACGACCAAACUUGGUCAUUUAGAGGAAGUAAAAGUCGUAACAAGGUUUCCGUAGGUGAACCUGCGGAAGGAUCAUUACCCGCAUCUAUUUUUGUGAAUUGGAGAUACACGGUGGCCGUCAUGUCACCCAAUACCUUGCGGACGUCUAUGCCUGGCCCUUGUAGGUCACCGCAUAGAUGGUUGAUGACAGGGUGCCUACCCGUAUGAUACUUCGAUGGUAUGCAUUCGGUCCUCGGACCGUUUGUCCAAGCCAGGAGAACGGGUUGUACUGCCGUAACAGGUAGUGCUAGGCUUAAUGAGGAGAAUUGGGCUACGGCCCUGCUCCCGCCCUGAAAACUGUUUCAUUACUACCAUUACACUGUUAAAGUGGUUGCUUGUGGCUUGCCACUCGUAGCCAUUGACCUCACAUGCACCUGGUCCUUGUGGCUGGACUGCACGUACGUCGCCCGGCGGUGCCUAUCCCGGGUAGGACGUUAACCUGGUCUUUGAUUGUCCGGUUCGCUGGAUGGUCGAGAUCUUACGUACAACUCUGAACGGUGGAUCACUCGGCUCGUGUGUCGAUGAAGAGCGCAGCCAACUGUGUGAAUUAAUGCAAACUGCAUACUGCUUUGAACAUCGACAUCUUGAACGCAUAUUGCGGCCAUGGGUUAGCCUGUGGCCACGCCUGUCCGAGGGUCGGCUUAUAAACUAUCACGACGCCCAAAUAGUCGUGGCUUGGGUUUUGCCAGCUGGCGUGAUUUCCUCUGUGAGCAAUCAUGUGAGGUGCCAGAUCUAUGGCGUUUCCCUAAUGUGUCCGGAUGCACCCUUGUCUGGCUGAUAGCCAUGGUGAGGUGCGGUAACGGAGUCGUGGUUUAAUGUGGCUAUGCCCCGUUUUCAGCGUGUUUGGCGUUCUAGUCGGCAUGCAUAUGACUACGGGUGGAGCUAUGCUGGGUUGGUGCUUGGUUAUCAGUGGGUUUGGCGAUUCUAGUCGGCUCACAUAUGAUCUCCAAGGUAAUUCCAUACCGUGCACGUUUCGUUACUGUUGCUUCAUCGCUGGUUUGAUGUUGGCUUGGUCAAUGUAUCUGAUGCUCUCUAUUGCCAUGCAGACUGCUUCGCGCAGAUUGCUUCCUGACCUCGGUUCAGACGUGAUUACCCGCUGAACUUAAGCAUAUCACUAAGCGGAGGAAAAGAAACUAACCAGGAUUCCCUCAGUAACGGCGAGUGAAGAGGGAAGAGCCCAGCACCGAAGCCUGUGGCCGUUUGGCCCCUAGGCAAUGUGGUGUUCAGGUUGGCUCGCGGGGAUGCUGCUCCACCCUAAGUCCUAUAAUGAGUAAGGUUACUCGGACAUGGCCCAUUGAGGGUGAAAGGCCCGUGGGGGUGGAGAGUCAGACUGGCCAGUAUCUCCCUGAGCAGACCUUGGAGUCGGGUUGUUUGUGAAUGCAGCCCAAAGUGGGUGGUAAACUCCAUCCAAGGCUAAAUACUAGCACGAGUCCGAUAGCGAACAAGUACCGUGAGGGAAAGUUGAAAAGUACUUUGAAGAGAGAGUAAACAGUGCGUGAAGCCGUUCAGAGGUAAACGGGUGGAGUUGAACUGCAAGCUCUGAGGAUUCAACUGGUGAGAUUGGCGUGAGCUUGGUCACGUGGGUUGUAUUUCCGUGUCUGCUUAGCUGCAGGUCCUCGCCUCGGUGGGGAUGCGCGUCUGGCUUAUCAAGCUUUGCGCGCACGGGAGUCUUCGGGCCCGCUUGCCAGUGCACUUUCUCAGAGUGUUCACCACGACCGGCGUUGCCGUCUGGCUGAUGUGGUUAAACCGGCCUUGUAGGGUCCUUGUGGCCUUGCUUGGUCGGGAUGGCAGGUAGCUCGUUGUGUAUUUAUAUGCUUCGGGUGUUAUAGCCGACUGCAUUGGUUCUGUGCGGUACGUCGGAGACGGCGGCUUGCUGUGCGUGCGGGCGUGCCUGUGUGCCGGCGGCUCUGGGUCUGGUUGCCUUGUUGCUUGUGAAUGCAGGCCAGGUGAUGGCUCGGGGUCGUUCGGUAUGCGGUUGCGUUCGUGGCACUUUGACAGGGCCCACAGUCUGUGGUGUAGUGGUAGACUAUCCACCCGACCCGUCUUGAAACACGGACCAAGGAGAGUAACAUGUGCGCGAGUCAUUGGGCGUUACGAAACCCAAAGGCGUAGUGAAAGUAAAGGUUCGGCUUGUCCGGGCUGAGGUGAGAUCCCGUCGUUUCUCACGCAUGGUCUACCAAGCA
Molecule: ribosomal RNA, 4074 nt
Filed under: Drepanocephalus auritus
Lineage: Eukaryota; Metazoa; Platyhelminthes; Trematoda; Plagiorchiida; Echinostomatidae
Description: eukaryotic LSU rRNA
Rfam family: Eukaryotic small subunit ribosomal RNA (bases 1-1930)
Source: RNAcentral